Molecule: ribosomal RNA, 272 nt
Filed under: uncultured prokaryote
Description: partial 16S ribosomal RNA
Rfam family: Bacterial small subunit ribosomal RNA
Source: RNAcentral
CACGUAGGAGGCAAACGUUAUCCGGAUUUACUGGGCGUAAAGCGCGUGUAGGUGGUUCUGUAAGUAGGGCGUGAAAGCUCCCGGCUCAACUGGGAGUGGCCGUUCUAAACUGCAGAGCUAGAGGAUGGUAGAGGGAGGUGGAAUUCCAGGUGUAGCGGUGGAAUGCGCAGAUAUCUGGAGGAACACCAGUGGCGAAGGCGGCCCUCCUGGACCAUUCCUGACACUCAGACGCGAAAGCUAGGGUAGCAAACGGGAUUAGAUACCCUGGUAGU